UACGUAGGGUGCAAGCGUUGUCCGGAAUUAUUGGGCGUAAAGAGCUCGUAGGCGGUUUGUCGCGUCGAAUGUGAAAACCCGGGGCUCAACCCCGGGCCUGCAUUCGAUACGGGCAGACUAGAGUUCGGUAGGGGAGUCUGGAAUUCCUGGUGUAGCGGUGAAAUGCGCAGAUAUCAGGAGGAACACCGGUGGCGAAGGCGGUUCUCUGGGCAUUACCUGACGCUGAGGAGCGAAAGUGUGGGGAGCGAACAGG
This 253-nucleotide ribosomal RNA is filed under the name uncultured bacterium. RNAcentral describes it as "partial 16S ribosomal RNA". It matches the Rfam family "Bacterial small subunit ribosomal RNA", at positions 524 to 776 of the family's 1533-position model. The record is from RNAcentral.